Panicum virgatum (switchgrass) is the source of this 121-nucleotide long non-coding RNA. RefSeq lists it as uncharacterized. The transcript has 2 exons. The record is from RefSeq and is a predicted model, not a curated record. Lineage: Eukaryota; Viridiplantae; Streptophyta; Magnoliopsida; Poales; Poaceae.
GAGCCUUUGAGAACAAGGCGGAGCGGGUAAAGGGCGAGCUCUGGGAUUUUUACAGGUGUGAUGAGGGAUACGAGGAGCGGGCGGCGAUUGUGGCUCACAAUCGAUGCGUUAAACUCAUGAA